RNAcentral lists this ribosomal RNA (412 nucleotides) under uncultured bacterium. RNAcentral's name for it is "bacterial SSU rRNA". It matches the Rfam family "Bacterial small subunit ribosomal RNA", at positions 123 to 518 of the family's 1533-position model. The record is from RNAcentral.
AAUCGUGACCCCCCGGCCCGGGAUAGCCCAGGGAAACCUGGAGUUAAUACCGGAUGAGACGGGACCCGCGAUGGCGGGACCCGGGAAAGGCGCGUGCGGCGCCGGCCGGGGAUGAGUCUGCGUCCAUUAGCUAGACGCGGGGUAACGGCCCACCGUGGCGACGAUGGGUAGCCGGCCUGAGAGGGUGGACGGCCACAUUGGAACUGAGACACGGUCCAGACUCCUACGGGAGGCAGCAGCUAAGAAUCUUCCGCGAAUGGGCGAAAGCCUGACGGAACGCGACGCCGCGUGAACGAAGAAGGCCGUGAGGUUGUAAAGUUCUUUUCGGGAGGGGAACAACCGUGGCAGGGAAUGGCCGCGGGAUGACGUGAAUCCCGGAAUAAGCCCCGGCUAACUACGUGCCAGCCGCCGC